UUAAAGAUGAAAGGAGUCAUCCAGGAAAAUGGUCGGUUGGCUCCAUGAUUCAGAGAUGGAGCCUUCAUCUCUGCUCUCGAAACACUCAAGACUUUUUGAGGAGACAAGACACACAGAUCAGCAAGAGAUGAAUUCAAAGACAGAAGUGAGACAAGAGACAGAACUGUUCCACUGUCAAGGCUGUGAAGGACAAAGGAACGGCUCUCCUUGUAUGGUCUGCCUCCAAGCUUUUGAAGAGAAGGAGAAAUUAUUUUUAAAAAGGAAGGAAAGCCAGGAAAUAUUGACUCUGCUGAACAAACCCUACGAUCACCUGGGUGCUGUUAAACCUCAGGAUUCCCGGGUUCCACGUGGCAUCUACAGAGGUGGAAUUUCCAAGGAAAGGGGCUCGGGAGUCCACCCUUCGUGAAAGCGUGCUAGAUGAUCCUGAGUAUCUUAUAACUUUGAGCUUCCUGCCAUCCGCACCAUUCCGCAGUCGUCUGGGCCCUUGGGAAUGGAGACCGCCUGCUGCAUGCCGUGUUAAAUAAAGUUCGUUUGUACCACC
This is a long non-coding RNA of Equus caballus (horse), 541 nucleotides long. RefSeq lists it as uncharacterized. The record is from RefSeq and is a predicted model, not a curated record. NCBI's taxonomy places the organism in Eukaryota, Metazoa, Chordata, Mammalia, Perissodactyla, Equidae.